GCUGGGUGUGGUGGUGUGCACCUGUAAUCCCAGCUACUUGGGAGGCUGAGGCAGGAGAAUUGCUUGAACCUGGGAGGCAGAGGUUGCAGUGAGCCGAGAUCAUGCCACUGCACUCUAGCCUGGGUGACAGAGUGAGACUCUGUCUCAA
This 148-nucleotide non-coding RNA is filed under the name Pan paniscus (pygmy chimpanzee). Lineage: Eukaryota; Metazoa; Chordata; Mammalia; Primates; Hominidae. The record is from Rfam by way of RNAcentral. RNAcentral also lists the same sequence under 1 other name.